Long non-coding RNA from Arvicola amphibius (Eurasian water vole), 949 nucleotides. RefSeq lists it as uncharacterized. Lineage: Eukaryota; Metazoa; Chordata; Mammalia; Rodentia; Cricetidae. The transcript is spliced from 3 exons. The record is from RefSeq and is a predicted model, not a curated record.
GGCGCGAAGUGCGCGGGGCCGGGGAGAGCGCGCAGUCGGGCUGGCGGAGCAGAGCGGUGCAGAGAGGCCCGGAGCUGCGCGGGUUCAGCCGGGCAGGGUCGCCUCGAGCCUGGAAGCUGCGCACCACCGCCCUGUCCAGCCAGCAACCCCAUAACUGCAACGGCCCCGGACAGAAGUAACGAUGGCCUUUCCCGCAGUCGCCGCUGGAGGACCCAAAGUUUUGCACGCGGCAUGUCUUCCCCCCCCCCCCCGGCCACCCACCAUGCGUGCGAUGUCCCCGAGGGAUCCUGGGGGCUUAGUGGGGACUAGGUCGGCUGUUCCGCACCCCUCCACCACCAUCCCCCAGGGCAGGGUGGGGACUCUGGCGAGUGUACCUGCCACCACCGUACCCAGUCUCCUCUCUUGCUGAGCCUCAGAACCCGGUCCCUUCGCAGAGGUCUUCCGGAGCCAGGAGCAAAGGGGAAAAAAGGACGUGGCUCAGAGAAGCUGACAGUGAAUGCUAACUUCGGUGACAGCUUUGCCAUUGUGAGCAUCUUCGAUCACACCCCACCAUAGGGAAACCCAAACCCUUCACGUGGACAGCGUUUGAAGAGCCAGAUGGUGUGGUGGGUUAGAAAAUCCAUGAGGAAUUAAAGGAAACACAGCCUUGCAUCGAAGAUGUCUUAUGACAACCUACCUGACGGAUGGCGAUGGGGUGACAUCAGGAGGUGACCGGUGACAUCUACCAGACGGAAGAUGUUCCUGAGGCCCACAGUGGACUAGAUAGAUGGCCAGCAGACAGAAUGAUGGUUGUGCAUCGGCCACCAGCUCCACUGACACUUUGCUGGAAUAGGAGUCACCCUCCCUGUGACCACAGCCACCCUAUGACCACCACCACCCCGUGACCACUACCACCCUGUGACCACCGCCACCACCCUGUGACCACCACCACCCCCUGACCACCGCCACC